Molecule: ribosomal RNA, 847 nt
Filed under: Phellinus nigricans
Lineage: Eukaryota; Fungi; Basidiomycota; Agaricomycetes; Hymenochaetales; Hymenochaetaceae
Description: eukaryotic LSU rRNA
Rfam family: Eukaryotic large subunit ribosomal RNA
Source: RNAcentral
UAGUAACUGCGAGUGAAGAGGGAAAAGCUCAAAUUUAAAAUCUGGCGGGCUCUGCUCGUCCGAGUUGUAAUCUGGAGAAGCGUUUUCCGCGUCGGACCGUGCACAAGUCUCCUGGAACGGAGCGUCAUAGAGGGUGAGAAUCCCGUCCAUGGCACGGASCGCCGAUGCUUUGUGAUACGUUUUCAAAGAGUCGAGUUGUUUGGGAAUGCAGCUCAAAACGGGUGGUAAAUUCCAUCUAAAGCUAAAUAUUGGCGAGAGACCGAUAGCGAACAAGUACCGUGAGGGAAAGAUGAAAAGCACUUUGGAAAGAGAGUUAAACAGUACGUGAAAUUGUUGAAAGGGAAACGCUUGAAGUCAGUCGCGUCCGACGGAACUCAGCCUUGCUUCGGCCUGGUGUACUUUCUGUCGGACGGGUCAACAUCAGUUUUGACCGGUGGAGAAAGGUAGGGGGAAUGUAGCGCCGUUUCGGCGGCGUGUUAUAGCCCCUUGCUGUAUGCAUCGGUCGGGACUGAGGACCGCAGCACGCCUUUUUGGCCGGGGGUUCGCCCUACGUACCGUGCUUAGGAUGUUGGCAUAAUGGCUUUAAGCGACCCGUCUUGAAACACGGACCAAGGAGUCCAACAUGCUUGCGAGUGUUCGGGUGGAAAACCCYUGCGCGUAAUGAAAGUAACAGUUGGGAACCUCCGCAAGGGGGUGCACCGACGCCCGGCCCUGAAGUUCUCUGACGGUGCUGCGGUAGAGCAAGUAUGCUGGGACCCGAAAGAUGGUGAACUAUGCCUGAAUAGGGCGAAGCCAGAGGAAACUCUGGUGGAGGCUCGUAGCGAUUCUGACGUGCAAAUCGAUCGUC